Molecule: ribosomal RNA, 406 nt
Filed under: uncultured bacterium
Lineage: Bacteria
Description: partial 16S ribosomal RNA
Rfam family: Bacterial small subunit ribosomal RNA
Source: RNAcentral
AUUGAACGCUGGCGGCAGGCCUAACACAUGCAAGUCGAACGAGUGGCGGACGGGUGAGUAAUGUCUGGGAAACUGCCUGAUGGAGGGGGAUAACUACUGGACACGGUAGCUAAUACCGCAUACCAUCGGAUGUGCCCAUAUGGGUGUAGCUGGUAGGUGGGGGAAAGGCUCACCAAGGAGACGAUCCCUAGCUGGUCUGAGAGGAGGACCAGCCACACUGUAACUGAGACACGGUCCAGACUCCUACGGGAGGCAGCAGUGGGGAAUAUUGCACAAUGGGCGCAAGCCUGAUGCAGCCAUGCCGCGUGUAUGAAGAAGGCCUUCGGGUUGUAAAGUACUUUCAGCGGGGAGGCGUUACCCGCAGAAGAAGCACCGGCUAACUCCGUGCCAGCAGCCGCGGUAACUC